UACGAGAUACGGCAAUAAAAAAUAUUAAGCGUAAGAAACACGGAAACACAUUUUCCGAACCUCUAAAACUUUUCAGUUUAUAUAUCUUUAUUGUUGGGGGUCGUAUGCUGUAUGAACUUUUACAUGCUAAUUUACAAAAUAUAUUACCAUCGAUUACAACUAUUAACCGAUGCAUAGAUAAAGAAAGUAAUAUAGUCGAUGGAACAGUUCAGUUGAAAGAAUUAAAGUUAUUCGUAAUAAAAUGAAACUAUCCGUUGAAUGUAUUUAUUUCAGAAGAUCAAACCGCAAUAAUUAAGAGCGUAGCAUACGAUUCUAAAAGUAACAGAAUGAUUGGUUUUGUAUCUGCAUGUAGCAAAGAUAAUGGAUUUCCUAAAAAUAAUUUUUAUGUAAAUUCCGUAUAAGAUAUUGAAAAUGCUUUUUCUAAAUAUGUUAUUGGUUGCAAUGCAUAUGUGUACAUGGCUCAACCGCUUGUUGAUAACGCACCAGGAUUUUGUCUAACAGUUUUUGCAAGCGAUAACAAAUUCAAUCACAAUGAUGUCUUAGCUAGAUGGACAUUUUAAAAAAAUAAACUUGAAAGACUCAAUAUUCAAAUAACUGGAUUUUCAAGUGAUGGUGAUACAAGAUGCUUAAAAACCAUGAGAAUAUGGUCCAAAAUUCCUUUAUCAUCUAAAAAUCCAUAUUCUCCUUACUUUCAGAUGGAAUUUGAUAUAAAAAACCAGUAUGUAUUCAAGAUACAGUUCACAUUGGAACAAAAUUAAAAACAAGAUUUUUGAAACUCAAUGUACUUUUACCGAUGGGUUCACAGAUUGUUUCUCCAGAACAUGUAAAAAAAUUAAUGAAGCAGUUCUCUAAAGACAAACAUUUAUUAUGUGACAGUGAUCUUGAACGUAUGUUUAGUUUAAUUAAUAUCUGAAGUAUUAUACAUCUGAAGUAUUGCAUAAUUUUUAAAUGAAAUAAAUACUGAUUUAAAAGGUACAUUUCGAUUUCCACAAGAAGAAAAUAAUCGCUUAGGAAUUUCUUCGGAUACAAUUUUAAAUUCUGAUAAAACUCCAUCUACAGAAAAAAUUUUAAAUAUUUUGAACACUGCUAAAAAUGAUGCAAUAAAUAUUGCAAGAGAAUUGGGAAUGAAUAUGAGUGAAGAAAAAAUAAAGGAAAGUUUCGAAAAGAUUAUAAUUCGAUGUUUUACUGAUGAAGAGGAAAAUGAAAAAAUAGAGAAAAAUGACGAUGACAACGAACGACAAAAUGAAGAUAUUGAAUCUACUGAAGAUUUUGAAGAUGAUUUCGAAAAUUUGCGAAAUGAUAUUUCAAUUUUUAAAAAUCAAACAGAUUUAAAUUUAAAAAUUAUACAACUAACUGCACAGAAAACAAUAAAGGUUUAUUUUUAAAUGUAAUUAUUAAUAAAAAAAAAUAUGUUGUAAGAAAAUCAUCGCUUUGUUGGUUAUAUCAAAAUAAAAGUAAAUUGUCUAGUGAUAGAUUGUAUCGAGUUUGUGGUAUGAAUGUUACAAAUACAAAUAGAAAAAUAACGAAAGAAUUGAAGAUAGAAUGCGAAAAAUAUUAUUGCGUUUAUUAUGAUACAGGAUGGUACAUAGGAAGAGUGUUACGUAUAGAAAAAAAUACAUGUAAAAUUAAAUUUUUAUCUGCUAAUUUAAAUGAGUUUAGAUGGCCAAAGAAGGAUGACAUUCAAGAAGUAGAUAAAGAAUUUAUAAUGUAUGGGCCGAUAUAUCUUUAAAUGGGAUAAAUCCUUUUACAAUUAGUAAAGAAAUACGUUCAAAUAUC
This 1776-nucleotide long non-coding RNA is filed under the name Monomorium pharaonis (pharaoh ant). RNAcentral describes it as "uncharacterized LOC105829711, transcript variant X1". Lineage: Eukaryota; Metazoa; Arthropoda; Insecta; Hymenoptera; Formicidae. The record is from RNAcentral.